This is a long non-coding RNA of Chinchilla lanigera (long-tailed chinchilla), 630 nucleotides long. RefSeq lists it as uncharacterized. The transcript has 2 exons. NCBI's taxonomy places the organism in Eukaryota, Metazoa, Chordata, Mammalia, Rodentia, Chinchillidae. The record is from RefSeq and is a predicted model, not a curated record.
GUUCAAUCCCUGGUACCACAAAACCCAACCAAACCGAACCAAACCACCAGCUAGAGUUACAGAAAAAUUGAAAAGAUGAAUCCUUAUACCUUCUUUCCCCCCACCAAUAUUUUACAUUGAUCAGCUACAUCUGUGACAAUCGCUGAACCAGUACUGAUGCGGUAACCAAAGCCACAGUUUAUUCAGAUUUCUUUGUUUCAGCCUAUUUCCCUUUUCUGUCCCAGGGGCCCGUCCAGGAGGCACCCUCCAAUGAUCUGUCACGACAUUUCACGCUCCUCUUGUCCCUGGCAGUGUUUCCAACUUCCCUUGUUCGCGAUGACCUUGACAGUCCCGAGGAGCCUGGUCAGGAGCUGCACUCUGUGUGGGGCUUGGUGUGAGGAGCUCAGCGGUAAAGUGCCACUAUCCUCACGGCUCAUCCAGGGGACGUGCUGUCAGUUGGAGUGUGGUCGUGGAUGCUGACCCAGGGCACCUGGUCAAGAUGCUGUGCUUGGAAAGAAGUCACUGCGGCUGCACUCACCUUGGGAUCCGUCCACUCCUGUCCUCCGCUGAGGGUGGGGUCCCUCCCUGAACUAUUUGGAAUUCUUCUGUUCUUCCCUAUCCAUCUAUCCAUCCAUCCACCCACCCACACAU